Molecule: long non-coding RNA, 351 nt
Filed under: Salmo salar (Atlantic salmon)
Lineage: Eukaryota; Metazoa; Chordata; Actinopteri; Salmoniformes; Salmonidae
Description: lncRNA (ENSSSAG00000097350.1)
Source: RNAcentral
GCAGGGUUUACGCUUUGUUAUUGUUUCUUAAAGGAGCAGUAAUGUGCUAGCGUAAAACGUGUUUGAAAUGAAGGAGUAAGAAGAGACAGAAUACCAGAAAUGCGGAUUUGAGUGACUUCAAAAUGUCAAAGUAGCAUAGGCUUCAGAUAAGCAUACCUACUGUAUGUAAGGGCAAUUUAAUUACAGUAGCGUGUUUUAGACUGUCAGAAUGAAUGACAAACUGUCUGGAUGAAUUGACUACAGCUAAGAUCUGACAACCCAAUUACAACCUCACAGCUGCAGUCAUCUGCCCCUCCAUCUGCUGCAGCGACAGAUCUGCCACCCCCAGCAUUUCAGCUGCAGGCACAGCAG